AGUGUGAGGAUGACGUGGGAGACUCCUGUUCCCUGACUGAGCCCUGCUGCCCUCCGCUGCAGUGUGUCCAGGGAAAAUGUAUCCCGGGCUGUCUACCCGGAGGGUCUCCGUGUAUCCCCGGGGCCAACCAGUGCUGCAGGUUCUUCGGCCAGCAGUGUGUGGCUGUGGGGAACCCCGCCGCUCCGAUCGCCGUGUGUGGGAGUUGUGUGGCUCGCCUACAGCCCUGUAACCCACAAAUCGCGCCAGGCUUCCUGGGUAGCUGCUGUGACAACUUCGCUUGUAUUGACUUCGGCCUGGGCCCCGUCUGCUUCCCGCCACAGGGCAAAUAGACAAGACACACAAGAAGCACGACCAGGCAGGACGAGAAGAAGAAAAAAAAACCGAAAAUCAGAACAACAUCUGUCGACAUCUCAUCAAUCUCGUUGUUAAAUGUCUUUGUGUUCUCUUUUUCUCGAUUUUAACGUGUCAUUUAGAAAAUGAUAUGUAUUUGAAUAAAAACAAGUUAUAGGGCUAA
Molecule: long non-coding RNA, 514 nt
Organism: Aplysia californica (California sea hare)
Lineage: Eukaryota; Metazoa; Mollusca; Gastropoda; Aplysiida; Aplysiidae
Exons: 4
Source: RefSeq, a predicted model, not a curated record